RNAcentral lists this ribosomal RNA (253 nucleotides) under uncultured bacterium. Its description in RNAcentral is "partial 16S ribosomal RNA". It matches the Rfam family "Bacterial small subunit ribosomal RNA", at positions 524 to 776 of the family's 1533-position model. The record is from RNAcentral.
UACAGAGGGUGCGAGCGUUAAUCGGAAUUACUGGGCGUAAAGCGCGCGUAGGCGGCUUUGCAAGUCGGGUAUGAAAUCCCCAGGCUUAACCUGGGAACUGCAUUCGAGACUGCAUUGCUAGAGUAUGGGAGAGGGAAGUGGAAUUUCCGGUGUAGCGGUGAAAUGCGUAGAUAUCGGAAGGAACAUCAGUGGCGAAAGCGGCUCACUGGCUCGAUACUGACGCUGAGGUGCGAAAGCGUGGGGAGCAAACAGG